RNAcentral lists this ribosomal RNA (439 nucleotides) under uncultured bacterium. Its description in RNAcentral is "bacterial SSU rRNA". It matches the Rfam family "Bacterial small subunit ribosomal RNA", at positions 355 to 786 of the family's 1533-position model. The record is from RNAcentral.
UAGGGAAUCUUCCGCAAUGGACGAAAGUCUGACGGAGCAACGCCGCGUGAACGAUGAAGGCCUUCGGGUCGUAAAGUUCUGUUGUUAGGGAAGAACAAGUACCAGAGUAACUGCUGGUACCUUGACGGUACCUAACCAGAAAGCCACGGCUAACUACGUGCCAGCAGCCGCGGUAAUACGUAGGUGGCAAGCGUUGUCCGGAAUUAUUGGGCGUAAAGCGCGCGCAGGUGGUUUCUUAAGUCUGAUGUGAAAGCCCACGGCUCAACCGUGGAGGGUCAUUGGAAACUGGGGAACUUGAGUGCAGAAGAGGAAAGUGGAAUUCCACGUGUAGCGGUGAAAUGCGUAGAGAUGUGGAGGAACACCAGUGGCGAAGGCGACUUUCUGGUCUGUAACUGACACUGAGGCGCGAAAGCGUGGGGAGCAAACAGGAUUAGAUACC